Molecule: ribosomal RNA, 1497 nt
Filed under: uncultured marine bacterium
Lineage: Bacteria
Description: 16S ribosomal RNA
Rfam family: Bacterial small subunit ribosomal RNA
Source: RNAcentral
GAGUUUGAUCCUGGCUCAGGAUGAACGCUAGCGGCAGGCUUAACACAUGCAAGUCGAGGGGUAACAGGGAAGCUUGCUUCCGCUGACGACCGGCGCACGGGUGCGUAACGCGUAUGCAACCUACCUCAUACUGGAGAAUAGCCCUUGGAAACGAGGAUUAAUGCUCCAUAGUAUCACAGAUUCGCAUGUUUCUGUGAUUAAAGAAUUUCGGUAUGAGAUGGGCAUGCGUCCCAUUAGCUUGUUGGUGAGGUAACGGCUCACCAAGGCAACGAUGGGUAGGGGGCCUGAGAGGGUGACCCCCCACACUGGUACUGAGACACGGACCAGACUCCUACGGGAGGCAGCAGUGAGGAAUAUUGGGCAAUGGAGGCAACUCUGACCCAGCCAUGCCGCGUGAAGGAUGACUGCCCUAUGGGUUGUAAACUUCUUUUAUAUGGGAAGAAACUUAUCUACGUGUAGAUAACUGACGGUACCAUACGAAUAAGGAUCGGCUAACUCCGUGCCAGCAGCCGCGGUAAUACGGAGGAUCCAAGCGUUAUCCGGAUUCAUUGGGUUUAAAGGGUCCGUAGGCGGGUCUUUAAGUCAGUGGUGAAAGCCGACAGCUCAACUGUCGAACUGCCAUUGAUACUGGAGACCUUGAGUACAAAUGAAGUAGGCGGAAUGAGUCAUGUAGCGGUGAAAUGCAUAGAUAUGACUCAGAACACCGAUUGCGAAGGCAGCUUACUAACAUGUAACUGACGCUGAGGGACGAAAGCGUGGGGAGCGAACAGGAUUAGAUACCCUGGUAGUCCACGCCCUAAACGAUGUCUACUAGUUGUUGGUGGAGUAAAAUCCAUGAGUAACGCAGCUAACGCGUGAAGUAGACCGCCUGGGGAGUACGGUCGCAAGAUUAAAACUCAAAUGAAUUGACGGGGGCCCGCACAAGCGGUGGAUUAUGUGGAUUAAUUCGAUGCAACGCGAAAAACCUUACCUGGCCUUGACAUGUACCGAAUUUAGCAGAGAUGCUUUAGUGCUCGAAAGAGAACGGUAACACAGGUGCUGCAUGGCUGUCGUCAGCUCGUGUCGUGAGAUGUUGGGUUAAGUCCCGCAACGAGCGCAACCCUUGCCAUUAAUUGCCAUCAUUUAGUUGGGCACUUUAAUGGGACUGCCGGUGACAAACCGGAGGAAGGUGGGGAUGACGUCAAGUCCUCAUGGCCCUUAUGGCCAGGGCUUCACACGUAAUACAAUGGUCGGUACAGAGGGAAGCCAACCCGCGAGGGGGAGCCAAUCUCAGAAAGCCGGUCGUAGUCCGGAUUGUUGUCUGCAACUCGACAGCAUGAAGUCGGAAUCGCUAGUAAUCGCGGAUCAGCAUGUCGCGGUGAAUACGUUCCCGGGCCUUGUACACACCGCCCGUCACACCAUGGGAGUGGGUUUUACCAGAAGUAGUUAGUCUAUCCGCAAGGGGGACGAUUACCACGGUAGGAUUCAUGACUGGGGUGAAGUCGUAACAAGGUAACC